This 1406-nucleotide unclassified non-coding RNA is filed under the name Hevea brasiliensis (rubber tree). Lineage: Eukaryota; Viridiplantae; Streptophyta; Magnoliopsida; Malpighiales; Euphorbiaceae. The record is from RNAcentral.
CAGGCGAUCAAUUGCUUUUGUAAAGAAGAAAAAAUAGUAUGGACGCUGCGAUUAAUGGGCCGCUGCGCCGCGAAACCCUAACCCUAGCCUCUUCUGUCAAGCCUCGUUUCCGAAACUCUGAGAAAUAUGCUAACCCUAACCCUCGUUUCAGCGACUCUCGCCGCCGAAAGCCCAGGCCUGUAGGCCUCCAAUCGAAUCCAAACUUGAAUAACCGAGAUCGGUCCCACUCAGGCUCCAUGGUAGCGAGGUUUCCGGCCAGAAAUCUUGUCAUGGGUGAGGUCAAGAUCUUGAAGCGCGGGGAAUCAUUAGCAAAGAGUGAUAAUCGAGUACCGAAGGAGAAUAGGAAGCCGAGGGUGAAGAAAGAAAAUAAUGCAGAUCUUGUUUUAGGAUGCACGGACCGGCUGGGACCCGACCCUGAAACGGUUCAGAAGCAGGUUAGAGUUGAUGAGUUCAAUAAACUUGUGGAGGGGAUGUAUGUUGGAUCGGCAUCUGUGGCGUCGCCGCCACCGAGUUCGCUUCCGGUCCCGGGUUUUUUGGGGAAGAGCAGUAACGGAGCGGCGACGACUGAUCUGCGGCGAUUACUAAGACUGGAUAUGGUUUAAUUUUGUGUGAUUAGAGCAUAUGGACUCUUCGUUAUCUUCCUGAUUGUUGAUUGGAAGCUCAAUUUCUUUCCUUUAUUUUUUCAAGAGGAAGGUUAUAGAGUGCAAGCAGGUGGAAGAACUCACAAAUUAUCAAAACCUUGUGUGCUUUGUGUGGAACAGUGAGGAUUAGGUGGUAUAAUUUGUUGCUUUAACGCAAAUUUUAGGGCAAUUGGGGUUCCGUUGUAUACUUUUUCAGUCCCUUCAGCUUCUGUGUUUUGUGUUGCUUAAUUCACAGACUCUUCAUUACUAUGUACUCUUUGGUAUCUGUUGCAAUAAAAUUUGUACAAAUUUUAAUUUUGUUUGUGCUUCUUAUUUUUUGAAUUUUCUCUGUUUUGUGCUUACUAGUAUUCAAUGGGGAGAAACAGGGCAGAGGCCAGAAGCCCUAUUCUUGUUCUUGAUUUGAGUACACAGAAGGAAAGAGAGAGCCCGUAAAUGCAUCAUCUAUCUGGAAACAUCAAUUGUGAGUUGUGAUAUGAAAAGCAGAUGUGUGAAUAUUGACUUUGCUUGUUGUAAUCAACUUCCGCUGGGUCCCCAGGCGUGAUCCAGAAGCAAUGCUUUCUCCAGAGAAAUAUCAUUUCUUCAAUGGGAAAUCCUUUGGCUUCUGGCAGGAAGAUGUAAACAAAGAUUUUCGUGACAGUGAUACACCCAACAAAGAAAGGAAGAUUCCUAACUUGAAUGAACCGAGGAGGGACAGGAAAGGCUGGUAUGUUGUAAUUGAAGAAAAGACAUACAGCUACUAAAAUGCUCUGCCCAGCUGAUCGUGUU